RNAcentral lists this ribosomal RNA (830 nucleotides) under Pseudozyma sp. Its description in RNAcentral is "partial large subunit ribosomal RNA". It matches the Rfam family "Eukaryotic large subunit ribosomal RNA", at positions 91 to 904 of the family's 3401-position model. The record is from RNAcentral. Lineage: Eukaryota; Fungi; Basidiomycota; Ustilaginomycetes; Ustilaginales; Ustilaginaceae.
GAGUGAAGAGGGAAGAGCCCAAGAUUGAAAGCUGGCGCUUCGGCGUCCGCAUUGUAAUCUCAAGAAGUGUUUUCCGCUUCGGACCAAGCCUAAGUCUCCUGGAAAGGAGCAUCAUAGAGGGUGAUAAUCCCGUACAUGGCUUGGAGCGCCCGUAGCUUUGUGAUACAUUUUCUAAGAGUCGAGUUGUUUGGGAAUGCAGCUCAAAAUGGGUGGUAAAUGCCAUCUAAGGCUAAAUAUUGGGGAGAGACCGAUAGCGAACAAGUACAGUGAUGGAAAGAUGAAAAGAACUUUGAAAAGAGAGUUAAACAGUACGUGAAAUUGCCAAAAGGGAAGGGUAGGAGGUCAGAGAUGCUUUUGGGGAUUCAGCCUUGCUUUUGCAUGGUGUUUUUCCCUUCAGGCAGGCCAACGUCGGUUUUGGGCACUGGAGAAGGGUGGAAGGAAUGUGGCAUCCCUCGGGAUGUGUUAUAGCCUUCUACUGGAUACAGCGACCGAGACCGAGGACAGCAGCGUACUCGCAAGAGCGGGCCUUCGGGCACCUUUACGCUUAGGGCGUUGGCAUAAUGGCCCUCUACCACCCGUCUUGAAACACGGACCAAGGAGUCUAACAUGUAUGCGAGUCUUUGGGUGGCAAACCCAUAGGCGCAAUGAAAGUGAAUUCAGGUGGGAUCCGCAAGGUGCACCAUCGACCGAUCCUCACGUCUUUUAAGUCGUGGAUUUGAGUAAGAGCAUACCUGUUGGGACCCGAAAGAUGGUGAACUAUGCCUGAAUAGGGUGAAGCCAGAGGAAACUCUGGUGGAGGCUCGUAGCGGUUCUGACGUGCAAAUCGAUCG